UAGGGAAUCUUCGGCAAUGGACGAAAGUCUGACCGAGCAACGCCGCGUGAGUGAAGAAGGUUUUCGGAUCGUAAAACUCUGUUGUUAGAGAAGAACAAGGACGUUAGUAACUGAACGUCCCCUGACGGUAUCUAACCAGAAAGCCACGGCUAACUACGUGCCAGCAGCCGCGGUAAUACGUAGGUGGCAAGCGUUGUCCGGAUUUAUUGGGCGUAAAGCUGGCGCAGGCGGUUUCUUAAGUCUGAUGUGAAAGCCCCCGGCUCAACCGGGGAGGGUCAUUGUAAACUGGGAGACUUGAGUGCAGAAGAGGAGAGUGGAAUUCCAUGUGUAGCGGUGAAAUGCGUAGAUAUAUGGAGGAACACCAGUGGCGAAGGCGGCUCUCUGGACUGUAAAUGACGCUGAGGCUCGAAAGCGUGGGGAGCAAACAGG
Molecule: ribosomal RNA, 429 nt
Filed under: Gemmatimonadota bacterium
Lineage: Bacteria; Pseudomonadati; Gemmatimonadota
Description: Gemmatimonadetes bacterium partial 16S ribosomal RNA
Rfam family: Bacterial small subunit ribosomal RNA
Source: RNAcentral